UGACUCCGGUCCCCCGGGUGCUGGUCGACUCUGCACGCGUCGUCGUCUUCGAGACGAGACGAGGUGAAGAGGUGGAGAAGCAAGAAUACUGCACGUGACGGAGGGAAAUACCUGUGCUGUAACCGUAGAACCGAAGACUCCGAGAGACGGAAUCGAGGGAACCUCAAUCCGACAACGAGGGUGAGCGACUCUGCGGCACUCCGCGUCUGAGGGGCGAUACUUUGGAUUGUUGUUCGCAGCUCUGGAAGUACGGAGGUGUCUACCCUUGGUCUACGAGGGUGGAAUUCGCGCCCGCCGCACGCGACACGCACGCGCGAUUAGCACCAAGGUGCUGCGCCUGGGAUUGGCGUCCUGUAUUUUUCUGGAUCAGUAGCAAUGAGUCUGCGCUUCAGUUCGUUCCUGCCGACUCCAGGAGGCCCAACAAGAACGAUGGGCCUGUAGGACCCGGGCCUCGGAUAGAGCUUGGCGACUUCCUCCCUUUCUCGCCUGACGACGAUACCAACCAAUGAGAAUCGUCCUGACUAACAAUAUGAAGUACAUCUCCCUUGACAAAAUCCAAGCCUGCUUCCUUGCAAGGUAUGAAAGGAUCAUCAGCCGCGGUGUAUGAGAAAUGUGCCCGAACACGAACCUGCGAAUGAGUAUUUAAGAACUACUUCUAGGCUCAACAUAUACAUAGUUUGAAAUUAGAACAGAAAUUUAAGGCGUUCCAAGCUUUCGUUUGAGAAUAUACCUCAUUACCUUGCUUUCCCUGACGCCAGACUUGCUAUCCGCUGGAAUAAUCACAAACGAGAUGGUGCCUUUCGUAUUUUUCUAAAUGAGAGAAAAAGAAAACAUUGCAAAAAUAGAGACGUGUACUUAUUAAAUAUCACGAAAUCUUAAAAAGUGUGCUCACCAGAAUUUCCAGCACAUAACUCGGUGUCUUUCCUUCAACGCUGAUACCAUUCACCUCGCAAAUCUCGUCGCCGGCGUGAAUAACGCCGGAUCUAUCCGCUGCGCCUCCCAGCAUUAUCCGAACAAAGAUGAUCUUGCCGGUUUCUUCGCAGUUUCUUAUCGUCGCCCCCUAUAAAAAAAUAGAAUCUGAUAUAUAGGGUUAUUUUGUUAGGCGAUGCCUUUAAUCAAGUAAAUAAUAUGCGAUUGAUCAAGCUGCACAAGUAUGGUUAUUUGUUUUAUAUUUUUCCAUCCAAGCAUUGAAUUCUAUUGAAUAAACGAAAAGAGAAACAGCUUUAAAAUUCAAGCAUUCCACUUGGAACAAGAGCCUGGCAUACCAGACGGUUACUAUUUCUGCUGACUGUGCAGCUUAGAGUGAAAUCAGAGAACACAACUCGUCUCUCGAAGCGCAAGAAUUUAACGAUCGUUCAAUAUUAUCAAAGCAUUCUUUGAAUUUUUCAAAUUGACUGUAAAAUGUUAUGUUUAUAAGGGUAAUAAACUUGGCAGCACAACGGUUUUGAAACCGUACUGUAAAAUGCACGUACUGUAAAAUAUUUAUGCGAUCAGGUUGCCAAAUGGUAAAAAAAAAUUGGCCAGUUUAUUUUUGGUAAAACAAAACUACACGAAAAGCAAAAUUUCUGAAACAUUUUGAUUCAGAUAUUUUUUUUUUUUCAUUAAUGAGAAUAACAUUUCCAAAGCACAGUGAAGAACUUACCACAAAUGGUUCAACUUCAGCACCACACUUCAACGCAAGUUUGUCAAUGAUAAAAGAUAUUUGUUAAUAUAUUUAGCUUUUCAAUCACAAUUGUGUUUCUCUUAGAGAGAAAGCUAAUGUAUCAUCGUCUUCUUAGUAGAAAAGCAGUCGCAAUAAAUGAACCCUAACUAUAA
RNAcentral lists this long non-coding RNA (1815 nucleotides) under Neodiprion lecontei (redheaded pine sawfly). RNAcentral describes it as "uncharacterized LOC124292701, transcript variant X2". The record is from RNAcentral. Lineage: Eukaryota; Metazoa; Arthropoda; Insecta; Hymenoptera; Diprionidae.